CGGAAGCCAUUUCAAGCCCACACCCGCGCGCUUGAAGUCAAGCUCUCCCUAAUAACAAAGCACGACCAAGAAGGACUCGCCAAAGAUGGCCAACCUCGCCGUCCUCGUGACCGUCUUCCUCGUGGCCGAGGCGAUCAUGUUGCCUGCGGUGCACGGCGCCCGCCCUUUGGAGAGCGUGGAGCUCGUGGCCUCGUCGGUGGCAAAGCCCCCCUCGUCGACAUCGUUGCAAGUCCCGGCGCUCGUCCCUCUUGACGGCCACUUCGAAGAAGAGGCAGACGGUCCUGCCGCGGCGGGGUACCUCGUGACGGACUGCACCCAUAAAACGCCGGUGAAUGGGCCCUAAUUAAGCCACGCAUUGUCCUAAUUCGGGUGUCACCUCAAGUGAUGAGCAUGCACUCGAUCAC
Molecule: long non-coding RNA, 404 nt
Filed under: Setaria italica (foxtail millet)
Lineage: Eukaryota; Viridiplantae; Streptophyta; Magnoliopsida; Poales; Poaceae
Description: long non-coding RNA (SITA_LNC006433)
Source: RNAcentral